RNAcentral lists this ribosomal RNA (157 nucleotides) under uncultured bacterium. RNAcentral describes it as "partial 16S ribosomal RNA". It matches the Rfam family "Bacterial small subunit ribosomal RNA", at positions 355 to 507 of the family's 1533-position model. The record is from RNAcentral.
UCGGGAAUUUUGGGCAAUGGGCGAAAGCCUGACCCAGCAACGCCGCGUGAAGGAUGAAAUCCCUCGGGAUGUAAACUUCGCAAGAACAGGAAGAAUAAGUGGGAGUUAAUAUCUCUCGCGAUGACGGUACUGUUUGUAAGCUCCGGCUAACUCCGUG